GUCCGUUUGCCAAUAAGCAGUGAUUAGUUUCUUUUGUUUGUUUUUCUAUUGUUUACCUACUAUAUUAGAUGAUGACUUACCUCCAAAACGCUUUAAAACUUUCGUUUAUAAUUCUAAGUGUGUUUAUAAUUAAAGAGCUACAGUGAAAUAAAAUGAAUUCUUCAAGAAAGGCAGCACCCAUGACAAAAGAUGAGACGAUGAUUCUAGCAGAACUUGUGGCGGCGAAAAAACAUUUCAAUAAUAAGGCAACAAAUGCCACAAACAAUAAAUUGAAGGAGCAGGCUUGGCAAACCCUUGUAAAUGAUUUUAAUUCGUCGAUUCGUCGUUUCCCACGAACUCCAUCGCAGCUUCGACUAAAAUGGGAAAAUUUAAAGAACGCUACGGCAACAUAAGAAACAACCUUAGUAAGGCUGGAGGUGGUAAGGAUUGCAGAUGAAAUUUUGGAUAAAGCAUGCACAUUGUUGUAGGUCACAUAUAAUAUUUUUAACACUUUUACAGCCAAGCGGAAACAAGAUGGAAGAAAAGAAAUGCAAGGCUAGCAUAGGGACAAUGCAUUAGCAGAAUAUCUAAUAGCAAAAAAGAGACUUGACUUGGAAAAUAAAGAAAAGGAGAUUGUUGUAGCAAAAGUUAAGUUAGAUUUAGAUAAUUUAAAAAAUUAAAAAUUACUUAAAAGGAAUAUUAAAUUUCAUAAAUUAAGUAGGCAAUAAUAAUUUUAUGUUAGAUAGUUUUUUAAGUAUAUGUACAAAUUCUAAAUUAAAUAUCUUGCAUGUACUAACUACCAUGUAAUUAUCAUUUUGGAAAAUAAAAAAUAGUCAAAUUA
This is a long non-coding RNA of Bombyx mori (domestic silkworm), 820 nucleotides long. RefSeq lists it as uncharacterized. The record is from RefSeq and is a predicted model, not a curated record. Lineage: Eukaryota; Metazoa; Arthropoda; Insecta; Lepidoptera; Bombycidae. The transcript has 3 exons.